AAAACCCUAUCCUUUAAAUACCUAGCACAGACCUAAAAGAAGCCAAGUCGCUGUUCUUCGUAGCCCCGAAGGAGAACCCUAGCCGAGAGAAAAAGCUUGAAGAAUCUAACCGCCGCGAUGAGAGCUAAGUGGAAGAAGAAGAGGAUGAGGAGAUUGAAGAGGAAGCGCCGAAAGAUGAGACAGAGAUCGAAGUGAUCAUCAUCUUCUUCAUUAGAAUGUGAUUGAGAUUCCUUAUAAUUCAGUGUCUGCAUCUUCUUGAAGCUGUUUGAUCUGUGAGUGAGGGAUUCUUGUUGUCUCUUCUAAUCUAGGUUUUGGAUUCAGUUCAUCUUUUUCAUCAUCAUUAUCAUCAACUAGACUAUAUAUUUAUUUCCUGUAAUCUCAUUUCUGCUAUAUGAUUUUGGAAUCUAUGGUGAUCUUUAGUUAUAUGAA
Long non-coding RNA from Impatiens glandulifera, 429 nucleotides. RefSeq lists it as uncharacterized. The transcript is spliced from 2 exons. The record is from RefSeq and is a predicted model, not a curated record. NCBI's taxonomy places the organism in Eukaryota, Viridiplantae, Streptophyta, Magnoliopsida, Ericales, Balsaminaceae.